AGCGAACGCUGGCGGCAGGCUUAACACAUGCAAGUCGAGCGGGCAUCUUCGGAUGUCAGCGGCAGACGGGUGAGUAACACGUGGGAACGUACCCUUCGGUUCGGAACAACUCUGGGAAACUGGAGCUAAUACCGGAUACGCCCUUACGGGGAAAGGUUUACUGCCGCAGGAUCGGCCCGCGUCUGAUUAGCUAGUUGGUGGGGUAACGGCCUACCAAGGCGACGAUCAGUAGCUGGUCUGAGAGGAUGAUCAGCCACACUGGGACUGAGACACGGCCCAGACUCCUACGGGAGGCAGCAGUGGGGAAUAUUGGACAAUGGGCGCAAGCCUGAUCCAGCCAUGCCGCGUGAGUGAUGAAGGCCUUAGGGUUGUAAAGCUCUUUUGUCCGGGACGAUAAUGACGGUACCGGAAGAAUAAGCCCCGGCUAACUUCGUG
This 435-nucleotide ribosomal RNA is filed under the name uncultured bacterium. Its description in RNAcentral is "partial 16S ribosomal RNA". It matches the Rfam family "Bacterial small subunit ribosomal RNA", at positions 29 to 507 of the family's 1533-position model. The record is from RNAcentral.